CGAGGGGUCCUAGCGUUGUUCGGAAUCAUUGGGCGUAAAGCGUGUGUAGGCGGCCAUUCAAGUCAGUUGUGAAAGCCCCGGGCUUAACCCGGGAAGUGCUUCUGAUACUGUUUGGCUUGAGUACUGGAGAGGAUAGUAGAAUUCCUGGUGUAGUGGUGAAAUACGUAGAUAUCAGGAGGAAUACCGGUGGCGAAGGCGGCUAUCUGGCCAUGUACUGACGCUGAGACACGAAAGCGUGGGGAGCAAACAGGAUUAGAUACCCUGGUAGUCCACGCCGUAAACGAUGGAUACUUGGUGUUGGAGGUAUUGACCCCUUCAGUGCCGAAGCUAACGCGUUAAGUAUCCCGCCUGGGGAGUACGGUCGCAAGAUUA
Molecule: ribosomal RNA, 372 nt
Filed under: uncultured organism
Description: bacterial SSU rRNA
Rfam family: Bacterial small subunit ribosomal RNA
Source: RNAcentral